Molecule: non-coding RNA, 1601 nt
Organism: Macaca mulatta (Rhesus monkey)
Lineage: Eukaryota; Metazoa; Chordata; Mammalia; Primates; Cercopithecidae
Source: RefSeq, a predicted model, not a curated record
UACAGGUGUGAGCCACCACGCUUAGCUGUCUUUUUUUUUUUUUUUUAGGCAAGCAGCUUUUUAAUUUUCUUUGUGAUCAUAAAACCUAUACCCACUGUAUCAGCUGCCUGUUGCUGCUGUAACAAAUUGCCACAAAUGUAGUGGCUUAGAACAACACACAUUUCUUUCUUUCUUUUUUAAGUCAUAACAAUAUAUUUUAAUCUCAUAACAACUUCAAUUGAAUAUAAAACUUUCUAUUUUCAGCUAUUAAUAUUAAAAUUAUAUCAUUUUAUAUCCUGUAUUAACAGAUUUAUGCAGAUUUACAUUUCGUUCUUCAAAUUCUAUAGAAUUUUAAUUUUUUACUUUCAUAGGUUAUUGGGGAACACAGUGUUUGGUUACAUGAGUAAGUUCUUUAGUGGUGAUUUGUGAGAUUCUGGUGCACCCAUCACCCGAGCAGUAGACACUGCCCCAGAUAAAACAACGCGCAUUUCCUGUCUUCCAUGUUGUUCUGGGAGUCAGAGGUCUAAAACGGGUCUCGUGGGGCAAAAGGCAAAGUGACGGCAGAGCUGUUCCUUCUGGAAGCACUAGGAAAGACGUCAAGCCUUGCCCUUUCCAGUUUCUUGGGGGUGUGCUUGGCUCAUGGUCAUAUUCACAGCCAGCAGUGGCGUCACCCCGACCUCGCCACACAGCGAUCUCUGUGACACGUCCUUCUCUGCCUCUGACCCUCCUGUCUCCCUCUUUCACUUGUAAGAGUCUCCUGACUACAUUGGUGUCACCUGGAUAAUCCAAGACACUCUCCCCGUCUGAAGAUCCCUCAUCAAACUGCAUCUGCCAAGCCCCUUUUGCAGAUCAAAGGAGAAGCGAAUUGUGAUCUAUUCCAUACGAGGGGCUUGGUGCCUGCAGCAACACGGGUGAAUCUCCAGAGAGUGGUGACGAGUUGGAGGAGCCAGUCAAAAAAGAAAGUGCUGUGUGAUUCCAUUUAUAGAAAACUCCAGAAAAUGUGGACUAAUCUAGAGUGAUGGAAAGCAGACCCAUGAUUGCCUGGGACAAGGAGCCUUGGGGGUGGAGGGGGGCCAGGGGGAGGAGUUUCAAAGGUGAUAAGGACAUUUUGAGGGUGAUGGAUGUGAUCCCUAUCUUAAUUGUGGCCAUGGCUUCAUGGAUAGAUACAAAUGUCAAAACAUAUUGAACUGUAUACUUUAAAUGCUCGCACUUUACUACAUGCCAAUCACAUCUUCAUAAAGCUGGGGUUUUUUUUGUUUUGUUUUGUUUUGUUUUUGUUUUUUUCUGUGUUUUUUUUUAAAAAAGGCCUGGAAAUGGAGAUGAGGACAGCCUGGCCUCAGUCUCCCCACUUGCAAUGUGGGGGAUCCCCAUGUGCCUUGCACCCCCUGAGAGCUCCAGGCUUAGGAGGAGACCAAGGUGAGCCCUGCUUCUAGCCAGAAACCCCGAGGCCCUAACCCCCAGGGCUGGAUAGCUGCAGGGCCCAGGCUACUGCCCCUCCGGGGAUGGACAGGUGCGAGGCCCCUCCAGAGGCGUAACCUGUUUCCGGCAGGCCGUGGCCGUGAGGAGAAGAGUGCGGAGGUCCCUUUCUUCUUUCUUCCUGAAUAAAAAAAUGCAUGAUGCUA